GAAGCGACCUCAGCUCAGGCGGGGCUACCCGCUGAGUUUAAGCAUAUCAAUAAGCGGAGGAAAAGAAAC
This 69-nucleotide ribosomal RNA is filed under the name Macrolobium sp. Klitgaard 663. RNAcentral describes it as "partial 26S ribosomal RNA". It matches the Rfam family "Eukaryotic large subunit ribosomal RNA", at positions 1 to 65 of the family's 3401-position model. Lineage: Eukaryota; Viridiplantae; Streptophyta; Magnoliopsida; Fabales; Fabaceae. The record is from RNAcentral.